CCCCACCCCUGGUGAUCGAUGGAAACCUGACUGCAUGCAGCUGCAUCAAUCAAGUCAAGAUGGGACAUCAAGAUGGGACACCUUGACUUGCUGCCCUUCCUGCCAGCUGAUCCCGACUUGGAAACGUUCCAGGAUGACAAGGUUUCUUGUUUUCUGUGCUGCCUUCAGGGGUGAAUCUUCUUUAAAUGGAACAGAGCAAACAAAACAGAGACUCCAGACUUCUGUCAAAACACAAGCUAAAGACUAUGCAACUGAGAAUGUCACCCUGUACACUUGUGACACAGCUUUACAGCCUUCUCGGCCUUUUGCCCAAGAUCAUGCGUGGAGUGUCGUGUGUGUCUCCCCCUCUGCAGCUGCCCCUGGGUCACUCCUUACUCUGCAGGGGGGUCCCAGCCUCCUCCUCCUGCUCUGGCCAGGAGGUCAGCCCUCAGCCAAGCAGGUAAAACCAGGUUUUAUUGACUGAAACACUCCACAAACCUUUUCAAGCUGCUAAAUUCUUGGGUUUGUUAUUCCUAGUGAACUGUCGGUUAAGUGGAGCAACAAGACAGAAAGAACAAAAGUGGGCUAUUGGAUAUCCAU
This is a non-coding RNA of Lepisosteus oculatus (spotted gar), 579 nucleotides long. The record is from RefSeq and is a predicted model, not a curated record. Lineage: Eukaryota; Metazoa; Chordata; Actinopteri; Semionotiformes; Lepisosteidae.